Long non-coding RNA from Mytilus californianus (California mussel), 1872 nucleotides. RefSeq lists it as uncharacterized. The record is from RefSeq and is a predicted model, not a curated record. The transcript has 3 exons. NCBI's taxonomy places the organism in Eukaryota, Metazoa, Mollusca, Bivalvia, Mytilida, Mytilidae.
GCUCACCUGGCCCGAAGGGCCAAGUGAGCUUUGCUCAUCACUUGGCGUCCGUCGUCCGUCGUCCGUCGUCGUCCGGCGUCGUCCGUCGUCGGCGUAAACUUUUUACAUUUUGAACUUCUUCUAGAGAACCACUGAAUGGAAUGAAACCAAACAUGGCAUGAAUGUUCCUUAUGAGGUGCUGACCAAGUGUUGUUACUUUGUAGUCGAUCCAUCAUCCAAGAUGGCCGCCAGCGGGGGACUUAGUUUAACAUAGGACCCUAUGGGAAAUGCAUACAAAUGUCUUCUUUUAGAGAACCACUGAAUGGAAUGAAACCAAACAUGGCAUGAAUGUUCCUUAUGAGGUGCUCACCAAGUGUUGUUACUUUGUAGCUGAUCCAUCAUCCAAGAUGGCCGCCAGCGGGGGACUUAGUUUAACAUAGGACCCUAUGGGAAAUGCAUACAAAUGACUUCUUUUAGAGAACCACUGAAUGGAAUAAAACCAAACAUGGCAUGAAUGUUCCUUAUGAGGUGCUGACCAUGUGUUGUUACUUUGAAGCCGAUCCAUCAUCCAAGAUGGCCGCCAUCGGGGAACUUAGUUUAACAUAGGACCCUAUGGGAAAUACAUACAAAUGUCUUCUUUUAGAGAACCACUGAAUGGAAUGAAACCAAACAUGGCAUGAAUGUUCCUUAUGAGGUGCUGACCAAGUGUUGUUACUUUGUAGCCGAUCCAUCAUCCAAGAUGGCCGCCAUCGGGGAACUUAGUUUAACAUAGGACCCUAUGGGAAAUGCAUACAAAUGACUUCUUUUAGAGAACCACCGAAUGGAACGAAACCAAACAUGGCAUGAAUGUUCCUUAUGAGGUUCUGACCAAGUGUUGUUACUUUGUAGCCGAUCCAUCAUCCAAGAUGGCCGCCAGCGGGGGACUUAGUUUAACAUAGGACCCUAUGGGAAAUACAUACAAAUGUCUUCUUUUAGAGAACCACUGAAUAGAAUGAAACCAAACAUGGCAUGAAUGUUCCUUAUGAGGUGCUGACCAAGUGUUGUUACUUUGCAGUCGGUCCAUCAUCCAAGAUGACUUAGUUUAACAAAGGACCUAUGGGAAAUACAUACAAAUGUCUUCUUUUAGCGAACCACUGAAUGGAAUGAAACCAAACAUGGCAUGAAUGUUCCUUAUGAGGUACUGACCAAGUGUUGUUACUUUGCAGUCGGUCCAUCAUCCAAGAUGGCCGACAGCAGGGGACUUAGUUUAACAAAGGACCUAUGGGAAAUACAUACAAAUGUCAUCUUUUAGAGAACCACUGAAUGGAAUGAAACCAAACAUGGCAUGAAUCUUCCUUAUGAGAUGCUGACCAAGUGUUGUUACUUUGUAGCCGAUCCAUCAUCCAAGAUGGCCGACAGCGGGGGACUUAGUUUAACAUAGGACCCUAUGGGAAAUACAUACAAUUGUCUUCUUUUAGAGAACCACUGAAUGGAAUUGAACCAAACAUGGCAUGAAUGUUCCUUAUGAGUUGCUGACCAAGUGUUGUUACUUUGCAGUGGAUCCAUCAUCCAAGAUGGCUGCUAGGGGGGGGGGGGGGCUUAGUUUAACAUAGGACCCUAUGGGAAAUACAUACAAAUGUCUUCUUUUAGAGUACCACUGAAUGGAAUGAAACCAAACAUGGCAUGAAUGUUCCUUAUGAAGUGCUGACCAAGUGUUGCUACUUUGUUGCCGAUUUACUGUUCAAGAUGGCCACCAGGAUAUUUUAUUAAAUAACGGGACCAAUAUUAAUCAAAAUUUGGCCUCAAUCAUUAUUUGGGUAUCUGUUAUGAUUUUUAUCUUUCUUUACAUGAUUUCUAAAACCAAAGUAGAGUCAGGUGAGCGACACAGGCUCUUGAGAGCCUCUAGUUUCUUUC